UCUACUUAUUCAGUAUUCAGUAAUAUACUCAUUCAGAUACCUAUCAAACUACCAAAAAAACUUUUUAUAUAAUUAGAAAAAAAUUAUAGCAAGGUUCAUCUAGAAGACCAAAAGAUCAAGAAUACCAAGGGAAAUAAUGGAAAAAAAUGUGAAGUAUAGGGGUCUAGCUUUAACCGAUAUUAAAUUGUACUAUAAAGCAGUGGUCAUCAAAACCUUGUGGUACUGGCUAAGAGACAGAAGGGUAGAUCAAUGGAAUAUACUAGGGGUAAAGGACCUCAGCAAGCUAGUGUUUGAUAAACCCAAAGACCCCAGUUUUUGGGACAAGAACUCACUAUUUAACAAAAACUGCUGGGAAAAUUGGAAAGCACUUUGGCAAAAAUUAUGUUUAGACCAAUAUCUUACACCCUAUACCAAGAUAAAUUCAAAAUGAGUAAAUGACCUAAAUGCAAAGAGUGAAAUAAAAAAUAAAUUAGGUGAAUAUAGAAUAGUAUACCUGUCAGAUCUGUGGGAAUGGAAGGAAUUUAAGACCAAACAAGAUAUAGAGAACAUUGCAAAAUAUAAAAUGAAUGACUGUGAUUAUAUCAAAUUAAAAAGGUUUUGUACCAUCAAAACCAAUGUAACCAAAAUUAGAAGGAAAGCAACAAACUGAGAGAAUAUUUUUAUAACAAAACUCUCUGACAAAGGUUUAAUUUCCCAAAUAUAUAAGGGACUAAGUCAAAUUUACAAAAAAUCAAGCCAUUCCCCAAUCAACAAAUGCUCAAGGGACAUGAAUAGGCAGUUUUCACAGGAUGAAAUCUAAACUAUCAACAAACACAUGAAAAAGUAUUCUAAAUCCCUCCUGAUUAGAGAAAUCUAAAUUAAAAUACUUCUGAGAUACCACCUUACACCUAACAGACUGGCCAAUCUGACAGUAAAGGAAAGAGAUAAAUAUUGGAGGGGAUAUGACAAAAUUGGGACACUAAUACAUUGCUGAUGGAGUUGUGAAUUGAUCCAAUCAUUCUGGGGGGCAAUUUGGAACUAUGCCCAAAGGGUGCUAAAAGACUGUCUGCCCUUUGUCAGUCAUACCACUGCUGGGUUUGUACCCUAAAGAGAUAAUAAGGAAAAAGACGUUAACAAAAAUAUUCAUAGCUGUCUUCUUUUUGGUGCCAAAAAUUUGGAAAAAUAAGGAGGUGUCUAUCGAUUGGGGAAUGGCUGAAUAAAUUGUGGUAUAGAUUGGUGAUGAUAUAUUAUUGUGUUGAAAGGAAUAAAGAACUGAAGGAAUUCCAUGUGAACUGGAAAGACCUCUAGGAUUUGAUACAGAGCAUAAGGAGCAGAACCAGGAGAAUGUUGUACACAGAGACUGAUACAUUGUGGCACAAUUUAAUACUUUUUAAGUAUUAUACAUAAUGAGGCAUUCUCACAGUUAUUAGGGAAAGAAUAUAUAGAAUAGAGAAACUGAAGUUUUGAGGUGACAUAAUAGAGUGAUCUGCUGAAGAAGUUGAAAUAUCAUGUGGUUAACAGUAUAGGGAGAAGUAUUUGCCUUGCUGAGAAUAAGGAAAAGGAUGAGGGAUAAAGGAUAGGAAAAAAUGCAACUAAGAGGGAGAGAAGAGAAUCUAGUCACAAACCUUGGGAAAAGAUUCUAGAAGGCAGAGCUCUACAGAAGGGGGUUUGGGGAGUUUACUGGGGAAAACUGUCACUCCUGUAACUGCCUUUUCUUUGAGCUGGAAGGCGGAACAGCUGCUCCAUCAUAUACUGGGAAACAACUAGUUUUACUGAAAAACUAGGAAGUUCUUGGGUCUGGAGAAAUACCUGGGAGGAGAUCUGUGUUUCCCUGAAGUGCUAUGAACAUAUCUGAUGGUGAACAAUUUGACUGUGGCAAUUUAACUAAGCAAUAAAUCAUGGGAGUUCCAUCCUGAUCUACAUUCCAAGCUCCUGAAGAACAUCUAUUGCUAAGGACAAGUUUCUUUCUUGCUGUCUAAUCCCACAGACUUGUCUCCUCUUUCUUAGAUUCCUCUAAAACCUGUAUUCUACUCCUGCUCCUCAGGCUUAGUUCUAUGCCAACCUAAGUGCAUGUGUGUCUUUAUUUUCUCUCACUUAAAGGAAAUAAAUUGGUUCAGCCCACUAAA
Molecule: long non-coding RNA, 2105 nt
Organism: Monodelphis domestica (gray short-tailed opossum)
Lineage: Eukaryota; Metazoa; Chordata; Mammalia; Didelphimorphia; Didelphidae
Source: RefSeq, a predicted model, not a curated record